RNAcentral lists this ribosomal RNA (536 nucleotides) under Escherichia coli. RNAcentral describes it as "partial 23S ribosomal RNA". It matches the Rfam family "Bacterial large subunit ribosomal RNA", at positions 1 to 567 of the family's 2925-position model. Lineage: Bacteria; Pseudomonadati; Pseudomonadota; Gammaproteobacteria; Enterobacterales; Enterobacteriaceae. The record is from RNAcentral.
GGGUUGUGAGGUUAAGCGACUAAGCGUACACGGUGGAUGCCCUGGCAGUCAGAGGCGAUGAAGGACGUGCUAAUCUGCGAUAAGCGUCGGUGAGGUGAUAUGAACCGUUAUAACCGGCGAUUUCCGAAUGGGGAAACCCAGUGUGUUUCGACACACUAUCAUUAACUGAAUCCAUAGGUUAAUGAGGCGAACCGGGGGAACUGAAACAUCUAAGUACCCCGAGGAAAAGAAAUCAACCGAGAUUCCCCCAGUAGCGGCGAGCGAACGGGGAGGAGCCCAGAGCCUGAAUCAGUGUGUGUGUUAGUGGAAGCGUCUGGAAAGGCGCGCGAUACAGGGUGACAGCCCCGUACACAAAAAUGCACAUAUUGUGAGCUCGAUGAGUAGGGCGGGACACGUGGUAUCCUGUCUGAAUAUGGGGGGACCAUCCUCCAAGGCUAAAUACUCCUGACUGACCGAUAGUGAACCAGUACCGUGAGGGAAAGGCGAAAAGAACCCCGGCGAGGGGAGUGAAAAAGAACCUGAAACCGUGUACGUAC